Molecule: unclassified non-coding RNA, 633 nt
Filed under: Hevea brasiliensis (rubber tree)
Lineage: Eukaryota; Viridiplantae; Streptophyta; Magnoliopsida; Malpighiales; Euphorbiaceae
Source: RNAcentral
CAGACCUUUCAUCACUCAUUCGGCGCCAAACAGUAGUCCAUAGUAAAUCCAUAAGAGAAGAAGAAGAGGAAGAAAUGGUAGUAGUAUGCUUCUUGUUGGAUCUAUGCAGCAUAUCGCCUCCAUUGCUUAGAGACCUAAAGCAGGUACGAAUAAAGCUUCUCUCUCUCUUCCUGUUAUCGAACCUAUCCCUUAUAUAGAAGUUCUAGUGACAGUUUCCGUGUUUGGUUGAUCGAUUGAGGGAGUUGUGGAUUUUGGCCAGUGCUUGUUGCAGCUCGCCAAUUUGUAUGCGAUUUCAUCUCUUUCGUCGUCGACGCAUCGAUCCGACUAUCUCAGAGGCAGGAUCGGUUUGUGCUAUGUCUUCAAAAAUCGCAUUUCCUCAUCUCAUGAGGUUAAAAUCGCAUAUAGCCCUAGAGGUAAUUUCAGUCUCCGUGAUUUCCAUCACGCUGUUAACAGCUUGCCUGGAGAUGCCUUUUUGCCUGAAAUCGACGAUUCCCUAGCUCUACGGUCAGGCGAUGUAAAAUUACCAACCGUUUUGAGUGAUCAAGUUCUUUACUCCUGGGGAGACAAAGAUUUUAUGAGGAAAGUGAUUGUUUUGAGCUCCUGCUUACCUGAGAAAAUAGACUCUGCCAUGAA